RNAcentral lists this ribosomal RNA (223 nucleotides) under uncultured bacterium. RNAcentral describes it as "partial 16S ribosomal RNA". It matches the Rfam family "Bacterial small subunit ribosomal RNA", at positions 326 to 539 of the family's 1533-position model. The record is from RNAcentral.
ACGCUCGACACCUACGGGAAGCAGCAGUAGGGAAUCUUCCACAAUGGACGCAAGUCUGAUGGAGCAACGCCGCGUGAGUGAAGAAGGUCUUCGGAUCGUAAAACUCUGUUGUUAGAGAAGAACACGAGUGAGAGUAACCGUUCAUUCGAUGACGGUAUCCUAACCAGCAAGUCACGGCUAACUACGUGCCGNAGCCGCGGUAAUCUGAGCGGGCUGGCAAGGC